GGGAUUGUGGCUCAGUGGCAGAGCACGUGCCUUGCACGUAUGAGGCACUGUGUUCAAUUCUCAGCACCA
This 69-nucleotide transfer RNA is filed under the name Ictidomys tridecemlineatus (thirteen-lined ground squirrel). Its description in RNAcentral is "Spermophilus tridecemlineatus (thirteen-lined ground squirrel) tRNA". It matches the Rfam family "tRNA". From Rfam's summary of the family: Transfer RNA (tRNA) molecules are approximately 80 nucleotides in length. Their secondary structure includes four short double-helical elements and three loops (D, anti-codon, and T loops). Further hydrogen bonds mediate the characteristic L-shaped molecular structure. tRNAs have two regions of fundamental functional importance: the anti-codon, which is responsible for specific mRNA codon recognition, and the 3' end, to which the tRNAs corresponding amino acid is attached (by aminoacyl-tRNA synthetases). tRNAs cope with the degeneracy of the genetic code in two manners: having more than one tRNA (with a specific anti-codon) for a particular amino acid; and 'wobble' base-pairing, i.e. permitting non-standard base-pairing at the 3rd anti-codon position. Lineage: Eukaryota; Metazoa; Chordata; Mammalia; Rodentia; Sciuridae. The record is from Rfam by way of RNAcentral.